CUGCUGGUAAAGGUCAUUACGUAUUACUUUACUUACGGAAAAGAAACCAACAGGGAUUGCCCCAGUAACGGCGAGUGAAGCGGAAACAGCUCAAAUUUGAAAUCUGGCCCCCAGGGCCCGAGUUGUAAUUUGUAGAGGAUGCUUUGGGGAGGCGCCUUCCGAGUUCCCUGGAACGGGACGCCACAGAGGGUGAGAGCCCCGUCUGGUUGGAUGCCGAGCCUCUGUAAAGCUCCUUCGACGAGUCGAGUAGUUUGGGAAUCCUGCUCUAAAUGGGAGGUAUAUGUCUUCUAAAGCUAAAUAUUGGCCAGAGACCGAUAGCGCACAAGUAGAGUGAUCGAAAGAUGAAAAGCACUUUGAAAAGAGGGUUAAAUAGUACGUGAAAUUGUUGAAAGGGAAGCGCUCAUGACCAGACUUGGGCCCGGUGAAUCAUCCAGCGGUUCUCGCUGGUGCACUUUGCCGGGCUCAGGCCAGCAUCAGUUCGCCCCGGGGGACAAAGGCUCUGGGAAUGUGGCUCCUCCGGGAGUGUUAUAGCCCUCUGCUGCAUGCCCUGGGGCGGACUGAGGUUCGCGCGUCUGCAAGGAUGCUGGCGUAAUGGUCAUCAGCGACCCGUCUUGAAACACGGACCAAGGAGUCGUCCUCGUAUGCGAGUGUUCGGGUGUCAAACCCCUACGCGUAAUGAAAGUGAACGCAGGUGAGAGCUUCGGCGCAUCAUCGACCGAUCCUGAUGUUCUCGGAUGGAUUUGAGUAGGAGCAUACGGGGCCGGACCCGAAAGAAGGUGAACUAUGCCUGUAUAGGGUGAAGCCAGAGGAAACUCUGGUGGAGGCUCGCAGCGGUUCUGACGUGCAAAUCGAUCGUCAAAUAUGGGCAUGGGGGCGAAAGACUAAUCGAACCUUCUAGUAGCUGGUUUCCGCCGAAGUUUCCCUCAGGAUAGCAGUGUUGAUCUCAGUUUUAUGAGGUAAAGCGAAUGAUUAGGGACUCGGGGG
RNAcentral lists this ribosomal RNA (984 nucleotides) under Epichloe typhina. RNAcentral's name for it is "LSU rRNA". It matches the Rfam family "Eukaryotic large subunit ribosomal RNA", at positions 1 to 1035 of the family's 3401-position model. Lineage: Eukaryota; Fungi; Ascomycota; Sordariomycetes; Hypocreales; Clavicipitaceae. The record is from RNAcentral.